AUGGAGGGAGGGAGCUGGAGGAGCACAAUGUGAUUUUUCUUCCAAGGCCUGGCAUUUCCAGGUAAAGAAUUUUCCCCUUGGAAAAAAGGUAGAGGACAAGCAAUAUUAUUAUUAUUAUUCCAGUACACUUCAGGUCUGGGGCUACAUCUACAGAUGAAACGAGACUCAUCGGAUCCAGACUAGGCUCUCUGUAAAGAUCUGUGUGUGAGAGCUUCCUAGAAGAGGGUACCUGGUGAAUCAAUCACUCACCAGUCUCAGAGUAACCGGAGCAUUUGAGAAAUGGGCAGUGUGCUCGAUGGUUUUCACUUUUCCCUGAAGAUGUGCUAUCUAAUCUCUUCGUGGUGGAAAAUCAGACGGGCAGGUCUUCAAAAACAGGAGAAAAGAGAUGUGGAUAGCAUUUUCCAUCAUGAGUCCUCUGGAAUUGUCUGGGAUCAUUGUAUUCCUG
Long non-coding RNA from Dromiciops gliroides (monito del monte), 445 nucleotides. RefSeq lists it as uncharacterized. The record is from RefSeq and is a predicted model, not a curated record. The transcript is spliced from 3 exons. Lineage: Eukaryota; Metazoa; Chordata; Mammalia; Microbiotheria; Microbiotheriidae.